Molecule: non-coding RNA, 64 nt
Organism: Merluccius polli (Benguela hake)
Lineage: Eukaryota; Metazoa; Chordata; Actinopteri; Gadiformes; Merlucciidae
Source: the annotation of a GenBank genome assembly
GGUCUAGUGGUAAGGAUGUUUGAAUCCCAGCCAAAAGGUUCUGGGUUCGAAUGCCAGCAGUCAA